GAACUUUCGGUUUCGAGAGGAGACCGGCGGAUGGGUGAGUAACGCGUAGGUAAUCUGCCUUCAGGACGGGGAUAACCCACCGAAAGGUGAGCUAAUACCGGAUGAUGCAGCGGGGCCGCAUGGCCACAGUUGUUAAAUCCUUCGGGAGCCUGGAGAUGAACCUGCGUGCCAUUAGCUAGUUGGUAGGGUCAAAGCCUACCAAGGCGAUGAUGGCUAGGGGGUCUGAGAGGAUGAUCCCCCACACUGGGACUGAGACACGGCCCAGACUCCUACGGGAGGCAGCAGUGAGGAAUCUUGCGCAAUGGGGGCACCCUGACGCAGCCACGCCGCGUGCUGGAAGACGGCCCUAUGGGUUGUAAACAGCUUUUACUGGGGAAGAACCUGGACCUUUCGAGGACCACUGACGGUACCCAGUGAAUAAGCACCGGCUAACUCCGUGCCAGCAGCCGCGGUAAUACGGAGGGUGCAAGCGUUGUCCGGAAUCAUUGGGUGUAAAGGGUGUGCAGGCGGAAGUCUAAGUCGGAGGUGAAAUCUUGCCGCUUAACGGUAAAAGGGCCUUCGAAACUGGAUUUCUUGAGUUCGGAAGAGGUUGGUGGAAUUCGUGGUGUAGCGGUGAAAUGCAUAGAUAUCACGAA
This 635-nucleotide ribosomal RNA is filed under the name uncultured bacterium. RNAcentral's name for it is "bacterial SSU rRNA". It matches the Rfam family "Bacterial small subunit ribosomal RNA", at positions 70 to 703 of the family's 1533-position model. The record is from RNAcentral.